RNAcentral lists this long non-coding RNA (269 nucleotides) under Lathyrus oleraceus (garden pea). Its description in RNAcentral is "Pisum sativum (pea) long non-coding RNA (PSAT_LNC017069)". The record is from RNAcentral. Lineage: Eukaryota; Viridiplantae; Streptophyta; Magnoliopsida; Fabales; Fabaceae.
CGUCCCAUACACCUUUAUCAAUCGAGUUAAUAUGGAUAUAGAUACAAGCUUUUCAAUAACUAUAAUUUUCGCUGGUGAAAAUUGGUGCUCUAUUGAAAGCCCUUUUAGGUUCGUUAGCCAUUUUCUAAUAAGCAAAUAUUUAAGCACGAAAUUUAUCAUAGCUUGUGAUACCGCUUGUUAGACGAUACACUUAGAUCUAGAGGAGAGGGGGAGGGGGGGUGAAUAUAUCAAUAGUUAAAAAAUUUGACAAAAAAAAAAUUGAAAAAUUU